GAGGGUAUAGCUCAGUGGUAGAGUGCAUUCUUAUCAUGCACAAGGUCCCAGGUUCAAUCCCCGGUGCCUCCA
Molecule: transfer RNA, 72 nt
Filed under: Camelus bactrianus (Bactrian camel)
Lineage: Eukaryota; Metazoa; Chordata; Mammalia; Artiodactyla; Camelidae
Also listed under: 2 other names
Rfam family: tRNA
About the family: Transfer RNA (tRNA) molecules are approximately 80 nucleotides in length. Their secondary structure includes four short double-helical elements and three loops (D, anti-codon, and T loops).
Source: Rfam by way of RNAcentral